GAUGAACGCUGGCGGCGUGCUUAACACAUGCAAGUCGAACGGGAAACCUUUUAUUGAAGCUUCGGCAGAUUUAGCUGGUUUCUAGUGGCGGACGGGUGAGUAACGCGUGGGUAACCUGCCUUAUACAGGGGGAUAACAGUCAGAAAUGGCCGCUAAUACCGCAUAAGCGCACAGAGCUGCAUGGCUCAGUGUGAAAAACUCCGGUGGUAUAAGAUGGACCCGCGUUGGAUUAGCUGGUUGGUGGGGUAACGGCCCACCAAGGCGACGAUCCAUAGCCGGCCUGAGAGGGUGAACGGCCACAUUGGGACUGAGACACGGCCCAGACUCCUACGGGAGGCAGCAGUGGGGAAUAUUGCACAAUGGGGGAAACCCUGAUGCAGCGACGCCGCGCGAAGGAAGAAGUAUCUCGGUAUGUAAACUUCUAUCAGCAGGGAAGAUAAUGACGGUACCUGACUAAGAAGCCCCGGCUAACUACGUG
Molecule: ribosomal RNA, 478 nt
Filed under: uncultured bacterium
Lineage: Bacteria
Description: partial 16S ribosomal RNA
Rfam family: Bacterial small subunit ribosomal RNA
Source: RNAcentral